AAACCAGCACCUCAAGUGGUCAGGAUGAUUAUUGGGCCUAAAGCAUCCGUAGCCUGUUCUGUAAGUUUUCGGUUAAAUCUGUAUGCCCAACAUACAGGCUGCCGGGAAUACUGCAGGACUAGGGAGUGGGAGAGGUAGACGGUACUCGGGAGGAAGUGGUAAAAUGCUUUGAUCUCUCGAUGACCACCUGUGGCGAAGGCGGUCUACCAGAACACGUCCGACUGUGAGGGAUGAAAGCUGGGGGAGCAAACCGGAUUAGAAACCCCGGUAGUCC
This 274-nucleotide ribosomal RNA is filed under the name uncultured bacterium. RNAcentral's name for it is "partial 16S ribosomal RNA". It matches the Rfam family "Archaeal small subunit ribosomal RNA", at positions 473 to 747 of the family's 1478-position model. The record is from RNAcentral.